This 253-nucleotide ribosomal RNA is filed under the name uncultured bacterium. Its description in RNAcentral is "partial 16S ribosomal RNA". It matches the Rfam family "Bacterial small subunit ribosomal RNA", at positions 524 to 776 of the family's 1533-position model. The record is from RNAcentral.
UACAGAGGGUGCAAGCGUUGUUCGGAAUUAUUGGGCGUAAAGGGCGCGUAGGCGGCCUGGCAAGUGGAAGGUGAAAUCCCUCGGCUUAACCGAGGAACUGCCCUCCAAACUGCUUGGCUUGAGUCCGGGAGAGGUGAGUGGAAUUCCCAGUGUAGCGGUGAAAUGCGUAGAUAUUGGGAGGAACACCAGUGGCGAAGGCGGCUCACUGGACCGGAACUGACGCUGAGGCGCGAAAGCAUGGGGAGCGAACAGG